CAUUCUCUCAACACACGGAUGGAAAUUACCACACUGUUUUAUUUACUGCUUCUAGUUGCCUCAGGUCUUGGCACUGUGAAGUUCACCCGUUAAGAUCUGACUGCCUCACAGCACAGGUGACAGCAGGUGAUCAUUCUGAACGUGUGAGUCUGGACAAUGAAGAUUGGCAGCACACUCACUCAUGGAGCUCACUGCUGUAAAGCCCAAGUAAAUCAGGCAUCUUCUGGUCUAUUUGGCUCUACAUCACCAGAGGCUGCAGGGGUACGUGCUGAGGAUUGCACUGAAGCUUGGCGCAGCCAAUGCAAAGACUCUAUGGGGAAGGACUGCAGCCCAAGGUUCUUCUGCCACUAGAAAUUGGCUAAGACCUUUGUAAAAGACUCUCAAAUUGGAAGUUUUGUAGCACCCAAAGGGGACCACAUGGGUGGCAAUGAUGCUCUGUAUACAGAACAUGCUCACACUACAAGUGUAUUGAGCCAAAAUCAUUAAUAAUGUAUAAAC
Pristis pectinata (smalltooth sawfish) is the source of this 498-nucleotide long non-coding RNA. RefSeq lists it as uncharacterized. Lineage: Eukaryota; Metazoa; Chordata; Chondrichthyes; Rhinopristiformes; Pristidae. The record is from RefSeq and is a predicted model, not a curated record. The transcript is spliced from 3 exons.